This 68-nucleotide transfer RNA is filed under the name Ixodes scapularis (black-legged tick). It matches the Rfam family "tRNA". Rfam says of the family: Transfer RNA (tRNA) molecules are approximately 80 nucleotides in length. Their secondary structure includes four short double-helical elements and three loops (D, anti-codon, and T loops). The record is from Rfam by way of RNAcentral. Lineage: Eukaryota; Metazoa; Arthropoda; Arachnida; Ixodida; Ixodidae.
CUGGUUAGCUCUGUUGGUGGAGCUCUCCACUGGAAAUGGAGAGGACACUGGUUCGAUACCAGGACUAG